CGUCGUAGAAUCUAAUAGUCGAGUUGUGUCCGACGUAUUCGGAUAGGAUAACGAUGACAAGUCGAAUAUCUGUUGUCCGGCCCUUGGUCGGGCAUGCACGUCAUGACGUAUAAUAAACGGUGGCAAGCCGAAUAUCCUUCGACCGAUCGUGACCAAGUCGGUAUGUCGCAAGUCGAACUACGAUCAUCUUGGCAUUUUGCCCUUCUAGUC
This 210-nucleotide long non-coding RNA is filed under the name Elaeis guineensis (African oil palm). RNAcentral describes it as "long non-coding RNA (EGUI_LNC015612)". The record is from RNAcentral. Lineage: Eukaryota; Viridiplantae; Streptophyta; Magnoliopsida; Arecales; Arecaceae.